UAAAAUUCAAAACCCUAAAUUUCUUUGUAAAAAUACCUUUUUCUUUUCUUACACAAAUCUCCUCACACCACUCAAAACUCUUGGUAUUCACUAUCUCUGUUCAGCUCACAAGUCUAGCAACUCAGCUUCGCUCAAGCACCGUUUGAGCUUUUUGUUACAGGUUCAUUCGAUCUUCGCAUUGCAGGUUCGUCUGACCUUUGUUCUAGCACUAUUCGAGCUCCAUUCUAGCGUCCUUCAAGAUUCAUUCCACUCCAUUCCAGCUAGUAUCGUUCGAGUUGUGUUUGAAUGCUGUCAAAGUCGAGAAACGGAUAGUCACACACAUAUAUAAGCAGCAAUUUGAGAGGAUUCGUGUUUUUCAACAACUCCAUCACGGGGUUGAGGACUUUUCAGGUCUGAAGCUUUUGAAGACUUAAGAAAAGUCUUCUCUUUUUCCUUCAGGGUUUUUCUUUCUCAGAUUUCAAGGAGUUGAGGAUAAUAUCUAAUGAAGCUUUGACUUUAGAGUUAUCUAGGAGUGUUGUGGUACUUAGAGGAUGUAAGGAAGAGCUUCGUGGUGGUGUUCAGAUAUUUUCUUGCUAUGUUUUGAUGAAGGCAGUGCUCGUGACAUUGGACAAGAGAAAUGCAAAGAAGGAAUUUCAUCAAGGGUGAAUGAUUAUCAAGGGUGAAUGAUUUAUUCUUCCUUUCCUCUAUGUAUAUAUUUACUAAAGCACGCUUAUACGUAUUUAAUAGUUUUUCCUACUUUAUAUAAUUUCUUUGUUAUAAGUUCUUUGCAAAAUGAAAUCACUGACACAAGGCGAUUACUCGCUUCCUCUAAGGAUACAAAACCUUCAAUAACAAACACAAGU
This is a long non-coding RNA of Benincasa hispida (wax gourd), 842 nucleotides long. RefSeq lists it as uncharacterized. The record is from RefSeq and is a predicted model, not a curated record. NCBI's taxonomy places the organism in Eukaryota, Viridiplantae, Streptophyta, Magnoliopsida, Cucurbitales, Cucurbitaceae.